UAGGCGACCGGGUGAGUAACACGUGACUAACCUACCUUCGAGUGGGGGAUAACCUCGGGAAACCGGGGCUAAUACCGCAUAAUAUCUUCGGGAUGAGAAGCCGAAGAUCAAAGGAGCAAUUCGCUGGAAGAGGGAGUCGCGGCUGAUUAGCUAGUUGGCGGGGUAAUGGCCCACCAAGGCUUUGAUCGGUAGCCGGCCUGAGAGGGCGCACGGCCACACUGGAACUGAAACACGGUCCAG
This 240-nucleotide ribosomal RNA is filed under the name uncultured bacterium. RNAcentral describes it as "partial 16S ribosomal RNA". It matches the Rfam family "Bacterial small subunit ribosomal RNA", at positions 95 to 334 of the family's 1533-position model. The record is from RNAcentral.